This 797-nucleotide ribosomal RNA is filed under the name uncultured Bacillota bacterium. Its description in RNAcentral is "bacterial SSU rRNA". It matches the Rfam family "Bacterial small subunit ribosomal RNA", at positions 1 to 799 of the family's 1533-position model. Lineage: Bacteria; Bacillati; Bacillota. The record is from RNAcentral.
AGGAGAGUUUGAUCCUGGCUCAGGAUGAACGCUGGCGGCGUGCCUAACACAUGCAAGUCGAACGAAGCACUUUGGAUGGAGAUUCGUCAAAAUCUGAUUUGACUUAGUGGCGGACGGGUGAGUAAUGUGUGAGCAACCUGCCUUUCAGAGGGGGACAACAGUUGGAAACGGCUGCUAAUACCGCAUAAUGUAUAUUGAGGGCAUCCUUGGUAUACCAAAGGAGCAAUCCGCUGAAAGAUGGGCUCACAUCUGAUUAGCUAGUUGGUGGGGUAACGGCCUACCAAGGCUGCGAUCAGUAGCCGGACUGAGAGGUUGAACGGCCACAUUGGGACUGAGAUACGGCCCAGACUCCUACGGGAGGCAGCAGUGGGGAAUAUUGGGCAAUGGGCGAAAGCCUGACCCAGCAACGCCGCGUGAAGGAAGAAGGUCUUCGGAUUGUAAACUUCUUUUAUGAGGGACGAAGGACGUGACGGUACCUCAUGAAUAAGCCACGGCUAACUACGUGCCAGCAGCCGCGGUAAUACGUAGGUGGCGAGCGUUAUCCGGAUUUACUGGGUGUAAAGGGCGCGUAGGCGGGGAUGCAAGUCAGAUGUGAAAUCCAUGGGCUCAACCCAUGAACUGCAUUUGAAACUGUAUUUCUUGAGUGCUGGAGAGGUAGACGGAAUUCCUUGUGUAGCGGUGAAAUGCGUAGAUAUAAGGAAGAACACCAGUGGCGAAGGCGGUCUACUGGACAGUAACUGACGCUGAGGCGCGAAAGCGUGGGGAGCAAACAGGAUUAGAUACCCUGGUAGUCCCCU